UUCCCAAUGAAGGGUUACACGCGGCAUUUGUCAGAUACUGGCUGUCUAACAGUGCGAGCAAGAGAAAACACGCAGAGGAGUGACUAAGGAAGAAACAAACAGCACUUACUUUGUUUUCCAGCGCAGUAGGCAAGUCAGGAAGGAGGCGAGGCGGUCCUUCCCCAAGGCCCUGCUUUCACUUUAAAAGCCGGGCUUCUGCUACGUCCAGGUUUGCCGUGGACUCCCAAACGCCUGCGCUUGCCAGGACGCCCCAAGUUCACAGUUCAUCAGAGGCAGCAAGGACCAGGGAUCCCCAGGAGAGAGCGAGGCGACCUCUGGGCGCUGCGUGGCACCACUGCUGUUACCACACACGCCCGGGACACCCACGCGUUCGCUCAGGAGCCGGGCACCGGCAGAUAACUGCUCAGAUGAGUGUCCAGAGACGCCAGCCUCUGACAUUCUCAGGUUCAAGGUUGGAAAUUGUAUGAAGACGAGAACCACGCAGUCAGCAGUAUUCUGCACCACUCACUUUCUCGCACUCAACGCACAUUUUAAAAAGAGCAAAAGGUACAAAAUUAGAAGGCAUAUUUUACUGGUGAUUGUGAUCGGCAUUUGCCCUGUACUGGGUCCCAUCUUGCUCACUAAACCUGCAUUUAAGAUCAGGAGUAUUUUCAUUUCUCUGUGAAAACUCAAGAUUUUUUGAGAGAAUCAAUUUUAAAAAGAACAGGAAAACAGUAUAAGUCUGCUUAAAAAAUGCAGCCCUCACUAAAUCUCAUCAGGUUAAUUUUUUUAAAUCCAAAAAGUAAACAAACAAACAAAGCAUACAGAUUGGAUGUUUGUUUUGGAAAUACUUCAUCCGUGUCCUGUCCAGCUCAUAAAAACAAACCUCCUUCCAGCAAAGAGGGACACUUUCACCUUGUUUACUGCCGCGUUUUGAAAGCGCUGUCUGGUCCCUCCUGACAUCACCGGCCCGGCAUUAGCACCUUCGCCGCUGCUGGCCGCACCUUCCUGCCGCGCGGCUGGACCAACACGCCCCAGAGCCGAGAGGACACUGGCGUGAGCAUUAAACCCACGGAACGCACAUGACAGCUGCUGCAAUAUGUUCCCACGAUGGAAAUGCCAGAUCCACACAGUUUUCAUCUGAGGCACGAAAGCUGGUGAUAGGGUCACCGUCACAGAGCACCCGAAUCCUCCUUGUGUGUUAUGCAAGUCACGCCGCAGACCACGUUCACGCAGUCAGAAUCAGAAAGUGAAGAUGAAUGUUAAAACGCUUUAGUAAGAAUAAUGGGCCGCCUGAUAGGUGACUCUAUUGUACAAAAAUGCCUGAAGACACAUUCUCUGUGCUACGGAAGAUGUUAACAUGAAUGUGUUUGAAACUCAAAAGGUGUGGCCUGUGGCUGUUUUGUUUCUCAAUGCCGUUUCUGUUACUAAUAUGUUAAUAAUAAUUUCUUAAUCCGGAUAAUACACAACAAGGUUGAGAGCAGGUAUUUAUAUCUCAAGCUAUUACUUUUAUCACUUUAGUGUCUCACAUUUUUCAAAAUGCUUUCCCUAUUUUUAUUUCAACCUUGACAACAAAUUUAUGCCACAGCUCUGGGCAAGUGGCAGGGCCAGGUCAGGGCCAGCAACCAUUUCUGGGUAUUUCUUGAGGACUAGCUCAUCCUUCUUUAAUUCUGAAACACAAGAGGUAGCUGGGCAAAAGGAGAAAUUAUUAGGAAAGACAGAAGCCUUUCAGAAGGGAAGCCUGAGGUAGGUUAAGAACAGUUAGCAAAGGUAAGAAGCACAAACUGUCCAAGGUACAGAGUAUUAAAUGGCACUGUAAUCUUACUCAACUUGCUGUCACACUGGUUGACUAACUUAAGGAAAGAUGAACCAGUUACCCAGAAAUACCAGGGAAGUUCUGGGCUGAGGGGGAAAGCUUCUGAGGAGGUCCCGGCCCCUCUUCCCGGCUCCUGCCCUCCACAGGGCUAUCACAGCCUCCUCACUUUCUACAGUGGGGCAAUCAAGGCACCGAAAUAAGAAAAAGCACUUGUUUUGGUUCAUAUCACAGCUUUCCUGGGAUUUUGGACAAACACGAGAACCAGAUAAUAUUCUAGGAAAAAUAAUGUAUCUCCUACUUUAUAAGCUUCACCAAAAUUAAUAGUGUAGAGAGUCAAAAGUUAAAUAUAAGAGGGG
Molecule: long non-coding RNA, 2151 nt
Organism: Myotis daubentonii (Daubenton's bat)
Lineage: Eukaryota; Metazoa; Chordata; Mammalia; Chiroptera; Vespertilionidae
Exons: 2
Source: RefSeq, a predicted model, not a curated record